GCUAAUACCGCAUAACAACGUUGUUCGCAUGAACAACGCUUAAAAGAUGGCUUCUCGCUAUCACUUCUGGAUGGACCUGCGGUGCAUUAGCUUGUUGGUGGGGUAAUGGCCUACCAAGGCGAUGAUGCAUAGCCGAGUUGAGAGACUGAUCGGCCACAAUGGGACUGAGACACGGCCCAUACUCCUACGGGAGGCAGCAGUAGGGAAUCUUCCACAAUGGGCGCAAGCCUGAUGGAGCAACACCGCGUGAGUGAAGAAGGGUUUCGGCUCGUAAAGCUCUGUUGUUAAAGAAGAACACGUAUGAGAGUAACUGUUCAUACGUUGACGGUAUUUAACCAGAAAGUCACGGCUAACUACGUGCCAGCAGCCGCGGUAAUACGUAGGUGGCAAGCGUUAUCCGGAUUUAUUGGGCGUAAAGAGAGUGCAGGCGGUUUUCUAAGUCUGAUGAAAAAGCCUUCGGCUUAACCGGAGAAGUGCAUCGGAAACUGGAUAACUUGAGUGCAGAAGAGGGUAGUGGAACUCCAUGUGUAGCGGUGGAAUGCGUAGAUAUAUGGAAGAACACCAGUGGCGAAGGCGGCUACCUGGUCUGCAACUGACGCUGAGACUCGAAAGCAUGGGUAGCGAACAGGAUUAGA
Molecule: ribosomal RNA, 635 nt
Filed under: Limosilactobacillus fermentum
Lineage: Bacteria; Bacillati; Bacillota; Bacilli; Lactobacillales; Lactobacillaceae
Description: bacterial SSU rRNA
Rfam family: Bacterial small subunit ribosomal RNA
Source: RNAcentral